GCCCUUAUAGCUCAGUGGUAGAGCGCAGCACUUGUACGAGCUCUCUCGAGCAAUGCUGAGGUCCAUAGUUCAAUCCUGUGUGGGGGCA
This is a non-coding RNA of Sporormia fimetaria CBS 119925, 88 nucleotides long. The record is from the annotation of a GenBank genome assembly. NCBI's taxonomy places the organism in Eukaryota, Fungi, Ascomycota, Dothideomycetes, Pleosporales, Sporormiaceae.